RNAcentral lists this long non-coding RNA (843 nucleotides) under Brassica napus (rape). RNAcentral's name for it is "long non-coding RNA (BNAP_LNC026370)". Lineage: Eukaryota; Viridiplantae; Streptophyta; Magnoliopsida; Brassicales; Brassicaceae. The record is from RNAcentral.
AGUGUCUUCCCUCCUCAAAUAGUCUGAAUCGUUUUGUUGUUAAUAAUCACGUCUAGGCAGACAUGGUUUAAUGAAUGAUCGAUCGCACCAGGUCGGGAGGAUGAUUUCGUCAGUCUUGAGGGAGACAUUAGUUUAGUCUCGAGCGAAGCGUUUCCCUUCAUCGGUCUCGAGCAAGAUGUCGGCCUUAUCAGUUUCGUUGUCUCGAGCGAGACGUUGGCUUCAUCAGUCUCCCGGUUUCUUCAAUUAUCUCCCCAGACAAGACGUUGGUUUCAUUGGUCUCGAGCGAGACCGAUCGACAUGAAACAGCUAUAUUCCUUCCUUGAGUUUUGUUGAUAAACGUUAACCUUCUACGGAAAUGUGUUCGUACUGAAGGCUUGAUAUAAAAUUUCUCCUUCUCGUCCAACCAAUCACGUGGUGGAAUAGGCUAUUUCUUUAUUUUAUAAUCAAAUGAGAGACACGUGUUACCUUCGGUGUUGUUUCUCUCGUUGAACCAAAGAAGUCUCUAGGGGCUUCUGUUUCUUCUUUGGGAAGUGGAGAAGUCUUCAUAGUGAAAGAUGUCUACGGUUUUGGCUCAUUGAGGUCCACGAAUUCUCGUUUGUCACCUUUUCAUCAAACGGUGGUGAGGAUAUUCCUUGUUUCCUUGUCGGUGUUUUGCUCCAAGAGAGAUAUGGUGUAAUCGUCAUAAAAAGAGGAAGUCAAAACCAAUUCACAGGGCAUAUAGGACUAUCAUUUUUUUUGGUGGAAGAAGAUCCUCAUUAUCAUGAGAUCAUAAUAAUUUAUUUCUGUUUGUUUACGAUUUUCUCCAUCCUUCAAUGGGAAGUCUCGUUGAGCUGAUUUGCUGGA